This 449-nucleotide ribosomal RNA is filed under the name uncultured bacterium. RNAcentral's name for it is "bacterial SSU rRNA". It matches the Rfam family "Bacterial small subunit ribosomal RNA", at positions 355 to 796 of the family's 1533-position model. The record is from RNAcentral.
UGGGGAAUAUUGGACAAUGGGGGCAACCCUGAUCCAGCAAUGCCGCGUGUGUGAAGAAGGCCUUCGGGUUGUAAAGCACUUUAGUUGGGGAAGAAGAUGUGCAGUUUAAGAGACAGUACAUUUGACGGUACCCAAAGAAUAAGCACCGGCUAACUCUGUGCCAGCAGCCGCGGUAAUACAGAGGGUGCAAGCGUUAAUCGGAGUUACUGGGCGUAAAGGGCGCGUAGGCGGUUAUUUAAGUUGGAUGUGAAAUCCCUGGGCUUAACCUAGGAACUGCAUUCAAAACUGGGUAACUGGAGUACUGUAGAGGGUAGUGGAAUUUCCGGUGUAGCGGUGAAAUGCGUAGAGAUCGGAAGGAACACCAGUGGCGAAGGCGGCUACCUGGACAGAUACUGACGCUGAGGCGCGAGAGCGUGGGGAGCAAACAGGAUUAGAUACCCCCGUAGUCC